ACGGAGGGUGCAAGCGUUAUCCGGAAUCACUGGGUUUAAAGGGUGCGUAGGCGGCCUGACAAGUCAGAGGUGAAAUGCACGAGCUUAACUGGUGAAUUGCCUUUGAAACUGUCAAGCUAGAAUUAUGUUGAGGUUAGCGGAAUGAGUCAUGUAGCGGUGAAAUGCAUAGAUAUGACUUAGAACACCAAUUGCGUAGGCAGCUAGCUAGGCAUUAAUUGACGCUGAGGCACGAAAGCGUGGGGAGCGAACAGG
This 252-nucleotide ribosomal RNA is filed under the name uncultured bacterium. Its description in RNAcentral is "partial 16S ribosomal RNA". It matches the Rfam family "Bacterial small subunit ribosomal RNA", at positions 525 to 776 of the family's 1533-position model. The record is from RNAcentral.